UUCUACCUUUCGCAAUGUAGGACAAAAAACAUUGUAUUUUGUUUCAAAAAUGUUUCGCAAUGUGCAACAAGCAACAUUGUAUUAUGACACAAUUCCCUUUCGCAAUGUAGGACAAAAAACAUUGU
This is a regulatory RNA element of Acetivibrio ethanolgignens, 125 nucleotides long. It matches the Rfam family "Fusobacteriales-1 RNA". The record is from Rfam. NCBI's taxonomy places the organism in Bacteria, Bacillati, Bacillota, Clostridia, Acetivibrionales, Acetivibrionaceae.